GAUGAACGCUGGCGGCGUGCUUAACACAUGCAAGUCGAACGAGAAUCAACGGAUUGAGGAUUCGUCCAAAUGAAGUUGAGGAAAGUGGCGGACGGGUGAGUAACGCGUGAGGAACCUGCCUCGGAGUGGGGAAUAACAGUUGGAAACGACUGCUAAUACCGCAUAAGCCCACAGCUCCGCAUGGAGCAGGGGGAAAAGGAGUGAUCCGCUUUGAGAUGGCCUCGCGUCCGAUUAGCUAGUUGGUGAGGUAACGGCCCACCAAGGCGACGAUCGGUAGCCGGACUGAGAGGUUGAUCGGCCACAUUGGGACUGAGACACGGCCCAG
Molecule: ribosomal RNA, 325 nt
Filed under: uncultured bacterium
Lineage: Bacteria
Description: bacterial SSU rRNA
Rfam family: Bacterial small subunit ribosomal RNA
Source: RNAcentral